Molecule: ribosomal RNA, 385 nt
Filed under: uncultured bacterium
Lineage: Bacteria
Description: bacterial SSU rRNA
Rfam family: Bacterial small subunit ribosomal RNA
Source: RNAcentral
AUUGAACGCUAGCGGCAUGCUUUACACAUGCAAGUCGAACGGCAGCGCGGGGCAACCUGGCGGCGAGUGGCGAACGGGUGAGUAAUACAUCGGAACGUGCCCUGUGAUGGGGGAUAACUACGCGAAAGCGUAGCUAAUACCGCAUACGACCCAAGGGUGAAAGUGGGGGAUCGCAAGACCUCACGUCAUAGGAGCGGCCGAUGGCGGAUUAGCUAGUUGGUGAGGUAAAGGCUUACCAAGGCGACGAUCCGUAGCUGGUCUGAGAGGACGACCAGCCACACUGGGACUGAGACACGGCCCAGACUCCUACGGGAGGCAGCAGUGGGGAAUCUUGGACAAUGGGGGCAACCCUGAUCCAGCAAUGCCGCGUGUGGGAUGAAGGCCU